This 408-nucleotide long non-coding RNA is filed under the name Brachypodium distachyon (stiff brome). RNAcentral's name for it is "long non-coding RNA (BDIS_LNC000928)". Lineage: Eukaryota; Viridiplantae; Streptophyta; Magnoliopsida; Poales; Poaceae. The record is from RNAcentral.
CGAGCCCGUCCUCAUCUUCUAGUGCUCUUUUAUAUAUACAGUACAUCCAUCCAUUUGGAUGCAAAGAGGGCAAGUAUGUAAGCUAAGCAAAGAGGGAAUCUAGACCGGCCAAUGCAUAUUGGGUCCAUUCGUGCGAGCAAAAAAAAAAUAUAGAUGCAAAACUUGGAAAAAGGAAUGUGUAUUUUCUGGCAUGAUGUAUGGUGAUUUUUGUGUUAGCGACAAGGUUUUGGUUACAGACGAAAAAACCCUUUUGAAAUUUUGAAUUUAAGACAUGAAUAACAUAUGAACCUGAUCCACUACACUAUGAUAUUUACAGUAUUACAUAUGUGCAAUACAUAAUCAUCUUCAAAAGAGAAAAAAAUAAACUCAAAUUUUGAUUAAAAAAAUCAUGGCAAAAUAUACUCCCUC